UGUGUGUGUGUGUGUGUGUGUGUGUGUGUGUGUGUGUGUGUGUGUGUGUGUGUGUGUAGUGUGUGUGUGUGUGUGUGUGUAACACUAUGCUCUGUUGCCCUCAUCAGGUUAGAGAGGAGUAUUGCAAGCUGCUGUCCUGUAUCUGCACACCACAGAAGAAGAGAUACUCAGAAGUCAGCACUACCAACCCUUCUUCCAGCCAAUCCCAGGGGUCAAGGAGCGCAGAGAACACGGGGAGUCGCAGAUAUGACGUCACCAAACCCCCAUAAUGCACCUAUUUACUUCUCCUCCCAUGAUAAAGGUUCCCACCAGAUGGCCAAACUGUAAAGUCAAAAUGGUCGAUAUUGUAAAAAUGUAUGUGAAGUGUUUCUGAUUUAGUAUCUUGGCCAGAUAGUGACACACCAGAAACACUCAGCCUGAGGAUAGUACUGUUCAGACCAGGUUAGUAGAAAAUGUGUCCAACUAUCCCGCCGGAUAAGCAUUAGGUUAUCCAAUCAGAAGUUAUGUGAUCUUCAUGUCAUCCAAUAGGAAUCCAUAUGGUCUUUAUGUCAUCCAGUCAGAAGUUACACGAUCUUCAUGUCAUCCAAUAGGAAUGAGUAUGAUCUUUAUGUCAUCCAAUUAGAAGUUAUGUGAUCUUCAUGUCAUCCAAUAGGAAUCCAUAUGGUCUUUAUGUCAUCCAGUCAGAAGUUACACGAUCUUCAUGUCAUCCAAUAGGAAUCUAUGUGAUGUUUAUGAUCCAAUAGGAAUCCAUAUGGUCUUCAUGUCAUCCAAUAGGAAUCUAUAUGAUAUUUAUGUCAUCCAAUAGGAAUCCACAUGGUCUUCAUGUCAUCCAAUAGGAAUCUAUAUGAUCUUUAUGUCAUCCAAUAGGAAUCUAUAUGAUGUUUAUGUCAUCCAAUAGGAAUCUAUAUGAUAUUUAUGUCAUCCAAUAGGAAUCUAUAUGAUAUUUAUGUCAUCCAAUAGGAAUCUAUAUGAUGUUUAUGUCAUCCAAUAGGAAUCUAUAUGAUAUUUAUGUCAUCCAAUAGGAAUCUAUAUGAUGUUUAUGUCAUCCAAUAGGAAUCUAUAUGAUAUUUAUGUCAUCCAAUAGGAAUCUAUAUGAUAUUUAUGUCAUCCAAUAGGAAUCUAUAUGAUAUUUAUGUCAUCCAAUAGGAAUCUAUAUGAUGUUUAUGUCAUCCAAUAGGAAUCUAUAUGAUAUUUAUGUCAUCCAAUAGGAAUCUAUAUGAUGUUUAUGUCAUCCAAUAGGAAUCUAUAUGAUAUUUAUGUCAUCCAAUAGGAAUCUAUAUGAUAUUUAUGUCAUCCAAUAGGAAUCUAUAUGAUAUUUAUGUCAUCCAAUAGGAAUCUAUAUGAUAUUUAUGUCAUCCAAUAGGAAUCUAUAUGAUAUUUAUGUCAUCCAAUAGGAAUCUAUAUGAUAUUUAUGUCAUCCAAUUUCACAACCACAAAAGAAAGGUACUAUUUUCCACCACUUGGAUGAAACCAUAAACGUGAUGAACAGAAGCUUUCUUCCUUUACAUGAAUGUGAUUUAUAGUCAUAUUUAUUACCAAGAGCACAAGAUAUGGUGACUUUUCUACACGAUUAAAUCCAGAGGGAUUUAGAAAAACAUUAUGUGAAGACAUGUGUUAGUUGUGACCUAAUGGACUGUUAUACUGUUAAUGUGUUAUUGAUCUUUAACACUUUAUUAAUAACAUUUAAGAAUAAGUCUUUAUAAAUGAAUAUACAUGUUUAUAAAUUA
Oncorhynchus keta (chum salmon) is the source of this 1727-nucleotide long non-coding RNA. RefSeq lists it as uncharacterized. The transcript has 2 exons. Lineage: Eukaryota; Metazoa; Chordata; Actinopteri; Salmoniformes; Salmonidae. The record is from RefSeq and is a predicted model, not a curated record.